This 942-nucleotide ribosomal RNA is filed under the name uncultured bacterium. RNAcentral's name for it is "bacterial SSU rRNA". It matches the Rfam family "Bacterial small subunit ribosomal RNA", at positions 41 to 982 of the family's 1533-position model. The record is from RNAcentral.
GGCAUGCUUAACAUGCAGUCGAACGGUAACAGGUCUUCGGAUGCUGACGAGUGGCGAACGGGUGAGUAAUACAUCGGAACGUGCCCGAUCGUGGGGGAUAACGCAGCGAAAGCUGUGCUAAUACCGCAUAAGAUCUAAGGAUGAAAGCGGGGGACUCGUAAGGGCCUCGCGCGAACGGAGCGGCCGAUGGCAGAUUAGGUAGUUGGUGGGAUAAAAGCUUACCAAGCCGACGAUCUGUAGCUGGUCUGAGAGGACGACCAGCCACACUGGGACUGAGACACGGCCCAGACUCCUACGGGAGGCAGCAGUGGGGAAUUUUGGACAAUGGGCGCAAGCCUGAUCCAGCAAUGCCGCGUGCAGGAUGAAGGCCUUCGGGUUGUAAACUGCUUUUGUACGGAGCGAAAAGGUUCUGGUUAAUACCUGGGGCCCAUGACGGUACCGUAAGAAUAAGCACCGGCUAACUACGUGCCAGCAGCCGCGGUAAUACGUAGGGUGCAAGCGUUAAUCGGAAUUACUGGGCGUAAAGCGUGCGCAGGCGGUUAUAUAAGACAGAUGUGAAAUCCCCGGGCUCAACCUGGGAACUGCAUUAGUGACUGUAUAGCUAGAGUGCGGCAGAGGGGGAUGGAAUUCCGCGUGUAGCAGUGAAAUGCGUAGAUAUGCGGAGGAACACCGAUGGCGAAGGCAAUCCCCCUGGGCCUGCACUGACGCUCAUGCACGAAAGCGUGGGGAACAAACAGGAUUAGAUACCCUGGUAGUCCACGCCCUAAACUAUGUCAACUGGUUGUUGGGAAUUCACUUUCUCAGUAACGAAGCUAACGCGUGAAGUUGACCGCCUGGGGAGUACGGCCGCAAGGUUAAAACUCAAAGGAAUUGACGGGGACCCGCACAAGCGGUGGAUGAUGUGGUUUAAUUCGAUGCAACGCGAAAACCUUACCCACCUUU